GAGGGUAUAGCUCAGUGGUAGAGCACAUACUUAGUGUGCACAAGGUCUUGGGUUCAAUCCCCAGUGCCUCCA
Molecule: transfer RNA, 72 nt
Organism: Camelus ferus (Wild Bactrian camel)
Lineage: Eukaryota; Metazoa; Chordata; Mammalia; Artiodactyla; Camelidae
Rfam family: tRNA
About the family: Transfer RNA (tRNA) molecules are approximately 80 nucleotides in length. Their secondary structure includes four short double-helical elements and three loops (D, anti-codon, and T loops).
Source: Rfam